CACAUUUGACAUGGGAGUAGUUUAUGCAGCUAUUUCUGGAGACGUUUCUCCAUAUCAGUCAGAAAGAGGCAUAUCAGAGGCAGUUUGAGUGUCUUCAGCAGAGUUCUAUGAUUGUUACUCAAUAUGAGACCAGAUUAAUUGAUUUGUCUCGCCAUGCUCUUAUCAUAAUUCCCACCAAGAGAGAGAGAGAGAGAGAGAGAGAG
RNAcentral lists this long non-coding RNA (203 nucleotides) under Nicotiana benthamiana. RNAcentral's name for it is "long non-coding RNA (NBEN_LNC006330)". Lineage: Eukaryota; Viridiplantae; Streptophyta; Magnoliopsida; Solanales; Solanaceae. The record is from RNAcentral.